AUUGAACGCUGGCGGCAGGCCUAACACAUGCAAGUCGAGCGGAUGAAGGGAGCUUGCUCCUGGAUUCAGCGGCGGACGGGUGAGUUAUGCCUAGGAAUCUGCCUGGUAGUGGGGGAUAACGUCCGGAAACGGGCGCUAAUACCGCAUACGUCCUGAGGGAGAAGGUGGGGGAUCUUCGGACCUCACGCUAUCAGAUGAGCCUAGGUCGGAUUAGCUAGUUGGUGGGGUAAAGGCCUACCAAGGCGACGAUCCGUAACUGGUCUGAGAGGAUGAUCAGUCACACUGGAACUGAGACACGGUCCAGACUCCUACGGGAGGCAGCAGUGGGGAAUAUUGGACAAUGGGCGAAAGCCUGAUCCAGCCAUGCCGCGUGUGUGAAGAAGGUCUUCGGAUUGUAAAGCACUUUAAGUUGGGAGGAAGGGCAGUAAGUUAAUACCUUGCUGUUUUGACGUUACCAACAGAAUAAGCACCGGCUAACUUCGUG
This 484-nucleotide ribosomal RNA is filed under the name uncultured bacterium. RNAcentral describes it as "partial 16S ribosomal RNA". It matches the Rfam family "Bacterial small subunit ribosomal RNA", at positions 30 to 507 of the family's 1533-position model. The record is from RNAcentral.